This 2774-nucleotide long non-coding RNA is filed under the name Zostera marina. RNAcentral describes it as "long non-coding RNA (ZMAR_LNC001767)". Lineage: Eukaryota; Viridiplantae; Streptophyta; Magnoliopsida; Alismatales; Zosteraceae. The record is from RNAcentral.
UGUUGUGCCAUAUUUCUUUUGUAGCUUUUAUCCCAUAACAAGCUUUAUUAUCUGGGUAUAUAUGGUAGAGGACUUCUGAACUAUUGUCAGAAAAUAAUGUCUCCAAAGUGACCUGGUUCUUGAUCAUAAAAUUUUUAUCAUUAAAAACAAUUAUGCAAUUUAGAUCUUUAGAUAACUUCUGAAUAGACAUGAGAUUUUUCUUUAACCCUGGUACACAUAAAACUCCCUCUAGAUUAUAUUCUUUUCCCAUAAAUUUCAAUGUGACUCUACCUCUAUAUCUAACAGGUAAGUAAUCUCCACUUCCAACUAUUACAUAUUGUGUACCUGGAGCUAUUACAUAGGCAGUGAAUGCAGUUAGGUCUGGAGUCAUAUGGUUGGCUGCUCUUGAAUCCAGGCAUCAGACUGAGUCCUCAAGUGUUGCAGCUGCUGACAUUGCCAUAUCAGAUAGUGGAGUUUGCUGAUAACUUUCUGAAUAUACUGAAUUUGUUGGUUGCUGAAUUGUGGUGUAAGUUGGAUAUGCGUAAGAAGUUGGUGGAGGCACAUGUGGUGGUAUACUGGUCACUGUGGUGUUUAAUGCUGAGAAAUUGUUAUAAUCUGGACACUGUUUGGCUAAGUGACCCUUCUUGUCACAGAUCUGACAGUUUUGGGAUUGAUCAAUAAAAGAAGGUGUUUUAAAUGUUGGUGGUGAUUGAGACUUUUAUUGUUGUUGUUGUGGUGGUGUAUUAUUUCUUGGGUAGUAAUUAUAGUUUUGUUGUUGUUGAUGAGGAUAUAUUGGUCUAUAGAAUGGUUGAGGAUUAUGGUUUGGUCUGAAAUUCAGGUUUGGUCUGUAACUGUAGUUUGGUUGAUAAUUUGGUUGGAAGUUUUGAGGUGUUGGGUAGUAAUUUUGAUUGUGUUGAUAAUUUGGGUACUGAUGAUGAUUAGGAUUUGGAUUGUAGUUGUAAUUAUAGUUUGGAUUACUUCCUCUGUAAUUAUGGUUAUAUCCCCUAUAAUUGGGGUUGUGCCCUUUGUAAUUAGGGUUGUGACCUCUAUAGCCUGUGUGAGCAGCCAUGGCUACUGUCACCUGAGAUUGGCUAUCUUCCUUGAUCCUUUUUACCAAUAAUUCUUCUCCCAAUAGCAUAUCAGCUAAUUCAUCAAAGCUUGGUACUUGUGCUCUAUUUCUGACUGUAGUCAGUAGACACCUGUAUUCGAAUCCCAUACCUCCUAAUAUAUAGUCUCUUAGACAAUUACUACUCAAUGUUUCUCCUGUAGCAUCUAGAGACUCUACCAGACCUUUUACUCUCACAAUAUAUUCUUGCAUUGUCUUUGUUGCUGCCUUCUUUAAUGUCCUCAACUGUUCUUUGAUCACUGUCACCUGAUCGAGUAGUACUUGUUGGUGACAAUAAUUUUUCUGAACUUGUCCAACCAUCAUAUGCAAAUUUGCAUUUUUGGAGCAUUAGUUAGUACUGAUUGUUUACCGUGGCCUUGAUCCAACCUAAAACCAAAUCAUCAUUGACCAUCCACUCAUCAUAUACAGGAUUGACCAUCUCAUUCUCUAACCUAGGAGUUGGGAAAGAACUUGUUCCAUUCACAAAUUUCAUGAAUUUAUGUGCUCUUAAAGCACAUUCGAACUGAUUUCUCCAUGUUAGGUAGUUCCCUCUUUCCAAUCUGUCAGGAACCAUGCUAAAAAUGUUAUAGGACACAUGUCUCAUAUAUGCUUGUUGGGGAGUAGUUGUAGGUGUAGGUGUAGACAUUUCAACCUUAAAAUAAUACAGUAGAGGGUGUUAAGUACUUCUAAUGAGAAUCCCAGAAUUAAAUCAACCUAGGCUGAUACCAUGUGAAGAAUUCAAAUCUAAACUAAUGGCUGAAAUUUGUAAUAACAAUGAAAGAAUUCUGUAAAUUUUUCAUACUGCAAAUUUAAGAAAAGCAUGAUGCAGAAUUUUGUUUAUUCGAAGAAAGAAUUUAUUCAAAGAAAGAACUAAAAUGAUUUAACAGAUUAAGAGUACAAACUAAAAGGAAAUCACAGAAUUGAAAGAAAACACUGAAAUGAUUUAAUUGAUUCAGAUUACAAACUAGAAAGAGAUUACAGAACUAAAAGAAGGUACUGAAAUGAUUUAAUUGAUUCAGAUUUCAAACUAGAAGAAGAUUACAGAAUUAAAAGAAAGAUACAAUAAUAAAACCUACAGAGUAAUGAGAUAGAAACUAAGAUUCAAAAUUAUAAGAUUAACAACUACUGAAUUCCAGAUUAAUUGUUCAAUUUGAUUGCAAUUGAUCAAGAAAACAAUACACAUUUAUUGCUAAUGAAUUGUAAAGAAACAAAACUAAAAAAUAAAAUUGAAUCUAGAACUAAAUCUUUGCUAAGAAACGAAGGCAGAAUUGACAGAAUUUGAACAUGGAAAACUAACCGGAAUUGAUACCUGAAACACGACGGAAGAUGAGAUUCAAAAACACGAAAUUGAAUGCAAGAACACCGAGGGCAAAUGGAAGAAGAUCAGGAAAAGAAGAACUCACAAAUGGAACUGUUUUUCCGGUAGCCUUUCUAAUAACUCCUCCUUUUUAUAAUCACUUCCGUGUCUCACUUAUCCCUUCAUAAGUUAAUUUAUUCGGAUCCUACCUUUGGGUGUCGGAUUCAACCCAUUUAAAAAUCCCAAAUUUAAAUCUUCUUCACUUUGGGAAGCUAUCUCUUCUUCCUCUUUCACAUACCGUACUCAAUUUGGUCAUGUAAAAUAACUUUUGGGUUCGGAUCAGGUGAAAAAAUUCAUUUGUACCCUACCCAAUGAUAUCGUGUUCGAAUCAAA